RNAcentral lists this ribosomal RNA (1501 nucleotides) under uncultured prokaryote. Its description in RNAcentral is "partial 16S ribosomal RNA". It matches the Rfam family "Bacterial small subunit ribosomal RNA". The record is from RNAcentral.
GAGUUUGAUCAUGGCUCAGAUUGAACGCUGGCGGCAUGCUUAAUACAUGCAAGUCGAACGGUAACAUGCUCUUCGGAGUGAUGACGAGUGGCGGACGGGUGAGUAAUACAUAGGAAUCUACCUAGUAGUGGGGGACAACCUGGGGAAACCCAGGCUAAUACCGCAUGUUUCUUACGAGAUAAAGAGGGCCUCUUCUUGAAAGCUCUUGCUAUUAGAUGAGCCUAUGUCGGAUUAGCUAGUUGGUGAGGUAAAGGCUCACCAAGGCGACGAUCCGUAGCUGGUCUGAGAGGAUGAUCAGCCACACUGGGACUGAGACACGGCCCAGACUCCUACGGGAGGCAGCAGUGGGGAAUAUUGGACAAUGGACGCAAGCCUGAUCCAGCAAUGCCGCGUGUGUGAAGAAGGCCCUGCGGGUUGUAAAGCACUUUCAAUUGGGAAGAAAGAUUUAGAGUUAAUACCUCUUAAUAUUGACGUUACCAAUAGAAGAAGCACCGGCUAACUCUGUGCCAGCAGCCGCGGUAAUACAGAGGGUGCGAGCGUUAAUCGGAAUUACUGGGCGUAAAGAGUACGUAGGUGGUUAAAUCAGUCGGAUGUGAAAGCCCCAGGCUUAACUUGGGAAUUGCAUUCGAUACUGUUUGACUAGAGUACAGUAGAGAGAAGCGGAAUUCCUAGUGUAGCGGUGAAAUGCGUAGAUAUUAGGAAGAACACCAGUGGCGAAGGCGGCUUCUUGGAGAUACUGACACUGAGGUACGAAAGCGUGGGGAGCAAACAGGAUUAGAUACCCUGGUAGUCCACGCCCUAAACGAUGAGAACUAGAUGUUGGAGGAAUUUAUAAUCCUUUAGUAUCGUAGCUAACGCGAUAAGUUCUCCGCCUGGGGAGUACGGCCGCAAGGUUAAAACUCAAAUGAAUUGACGGGGGCCCGCACAAGCGGUGGAGCAUGUGGUUUAAUUCGAUGCAACGCGAAGAACCUUACCUGGCCUUGACAUCCUUGGAAUUUCGCAGAAACGUGAAAGUGCCUUCGGGAGCCAAGAGACAGGUGCUGCAUGGCUGUCGUCAGCUCGUGUCGUGAGAUGUUGGGUUAAGUCCCGCAACGAGCGCAACCCCUAUCUCUAGUUGCCAGCGAUUAUGGUGGGAACUCUAAGGAGACUGCCGGUGAUAAGCCGGAGGAAGGUGGGGACGACGUCAAGUCAUCAUGGCCCUUACGGGAUGGGCUACACACGUGCUACAAUGGUGCAUACAGAGGGUUGCCAAGCCGCAAGGUGGAGCUAAUCCCAGAAAGUGCAUCUUAGUCCGGAUCGCAGUCUGCAACUCGACUGCGUGAAGUUGGAAUCGCUAGUAAUCGCGAAUCAGCAAUGUCGCGGUGAAUACGUUCCCGGGCCUUGUACACACCGCCCGUCACACCAUGGGAGUGGGUUGCACCAGAAGUAGCUAGACUAACCUUCGGGAGGUCGGUUACCACGGUGUGGUUCAUGACUGGGGUGAAGGUCGUGACAAGGUAAC